RNAcentral lists this ribosomal RNA (172 nucleotides) under uncultured bacterium. Its description in RNAcentral is "partial 16S ribosomal RNA". It matches the Rfam family "Bacterial small subunit ribosomal RNA", at positions 335 to 524 of the family's 1533-position model. The record is from RNAcentral.
ACUCCUACGGGAGGCAGCAGUGGGGAAUAUUGCACAAUGGGCGAAAGCCUGAUGCAGCAACGCCGCGUGAGCGAUGAAGGCCUUCAGGUCGUAAAGCUCUGUCCUCAAGGAAGAUAAUGACGGUACUUGAGGAGGAAGCCCCGGCUAACUACGUGCCAGCAGCCGCGGUAAU